Molecule: ribosomal RNA, 253 nt
Filed under: uncultured bacterium
Lineage: Bacteria
Description: partial 16S ribosomal RNA
Rfam family: Bacterial small subunit ribosomal RNA
Source: RNAcentral
AACGUAGGUUCCGAGCGUUAUCCGGAUUUACUGGGCGUAAAGCGCGUUCAGGCGGUUUGGCAAGUCGGGCAUGAAAUCUCUCGGCUCAACCGGGAGAGGUUGUCCGAUACUGCUGGACUUGAGGGCAGUAGAGGGUGGUGGAAUUCCGGGUGUAGUGGUGAAAUGCGUAGAUAUCUGGAGGAACACCGGUGGCGAAGGCGGCAUCCUGGACCGGUAUUGACACUGAGGCGCGAAAGCCAGGGGAGCAAACGGG